UCGGGUUGUAAAGCACUUUUGUCCGGAAAGAAAACCUCGUGGUUAAUACCCGUGGGGGAUGACGGUACCGGAAGAAUAAGCACCGGCUAACUACGUGCCAGCAGCCGCGGUAAUACGUAGGGUGCAAGCGUUAAUCGGAAUUACUGGGCGUAAAGCGUGCGCAGGCGGUUCGCUAAGACAGAUGUGAAAUCCCCGGGCUUAACCUGGGAACUGCAUUUGUGACUGGCGGGCUAGAGUAUGGCAGAGGGGGGGUAGAAUUCCACGUGUAGCAGUGAAAUGCGUAGAGAUGUGGAGGAAUACCGAUGGCGAAGGCAGCCCCCUGGGCCAAUACUGACGCUCAUGCACGAAAGCGUGGGGAGCAAACAGGAUUAGAUACCCUGGUAGUCCACGCCCUAAACGAUGUCAACUAGUUGUUGGGGAUUCAUUUCCUUAGUAACGUAGCUAACGCGUGAAGUUGACCGCCUGGGGAGUACGGUCGCAAGAUUAAAACUCAAAGGAAUUGACGGGGACCCGCACAAGCGGUGGAUGAUGUGGAUUAAUUCGAUGCAACGCGAAAAACCUUACCUACCCUUGACAUGUAUGGAAUCCUGCUG
This 593-nucleotide ribosomal RNA is filed under the name uncultured Burkholderia sp. RNAcentral's name for it is "bacterial SSU rRNA". It matches the Rfam family "Bacterial small subunit ribosomal RNA", at positions 418 to 1003 of the family's 1533-position model. Lineage: Bacteria; Pseudomonadati; Pseudomonadota; Betaproteobacteria; Burkholderiales; Burkholderiaceae. The record is from RNAcentral.